GGGCGGCGAGGGGCGGAGCCGGGGCGGAGCCACGGCGCUGGCGGCCCCGGCGGCGGCGGCAGGUGUGGAUGGGGCGAAGGUGCGGGAACGUCCACUCCCGCGCGCCCCUCUCGGGGACCAGGGCGGCCUCCCAGGAGGAGCUUGGUGAGCAGCUGCGACCUGUGCAUAACUUGGGGCGCCGCCAGGGGCUCGCAGGUUCCACGUCCGGCGCCUGGAGAAGGAAGACGCGCGUCCCCGGCCGCGGCGCCGAAGCCGGCUGGGGGACCGCCUGGUCCCGGGCCAGAGCUGGGAGGCGGUGUUCCGUGAGCCGCCUGGUCUGGGGUGCGGGGGGCGGGAAGCGGCCCCUUCGUGUGCGCUUGGGCGAGGCCGGGCGGCGCUUCUGUCCUCCUACUCGGACCCGCAGGUUUCUGGUCCUCAUACCGUGUGGUUGAGUGAAAUCAAAACUUCCACGAUAGCAAUGCUGAUUGGACAAAGAAUGUGUUGUGGACACAAAACCAAACUCUGGAGGACAGAGGAUUCAUUCCAAGGGUCUGCUUGUAUUCAAUGACUGGUCUACGUGGGGGUGUGAAGUCCCCUUACUCCACCUGUGAAGAGUCUUCCCAGUUUCAGACCACCCUCCCAGCCUCCUGUUAUUGGCUAAGGCCAUUUUGUGACUACACUGCAGGUAGAGACAGAUUCUCUGGAAGUACCUUCUCAAGGCCAGUGUAGAGCUCCCAAUCACCCAGCAGAUUCUCCCUCUCCCACUGCCCGCACCAAGCAGGUCUCCAGGUGUUCCAGCUGCUGAUGAAGUCCAGUGUGGAGUUGGUCCAGGAGGGUCGUGUUCCAGGCAGCAGAGGAGCGCUCUGUGUGGAAGAGGCUGAAGAUCUGCUGCAGCAUCUCAUGGAGGACAGACAGGGCCUGGGCCUGCUGCAACUGGCUGUCAUACACAUCUCCAGGGGAAACCUGAAGUCUCUUCUGUCCUUGAGACACAAGAAAGGGGAGAUCCAUUUCAUUUGGCCCAGAAGCACCAACGUCUUCCUUCCUGUCAGACCAUGGUUCUGAGUCAGGUCACAUCCCAGAGAUCAAAAAGAGCCACAGCUGCACACAACUAGGACCACCACUAGAGAGUGAAGGCAGGCCACUGGGAAAUGAGGGAGCUGCUGGCCUGGUGGAGCUGGGGUCUGAGUGUAAUUUGGAACCUAGGUUCUCUCAAGACAUUCACUAUGCAUGGCUUUUAACAGGAAACAAAUAGUUUUCAUUUUCUGCAUUCCUCUACACUUAUUUCCCUUUUUAUUAUUUUUUUAUUCUUCAUAUGACCUAAGAAGAAACAUCACUCCAUACUAUUAAUUUUGCAAUAGAAGUCUAAUUUUCCUAGUAAACUUUAGAGGUGUCAAUCAAAAUGGAUAUUUAUCAAUUGCAUGAGAAACAUCUUUGUCCUAAAGGCCUAAGCGUAUAUAUGUAUGUAAAUCACACACACACAUGCACGCAUGCACACACUAUUUUUUAAUAUAUAAACAUUGCUUUUUCUGUUCUUGGAAAAGAUUUUGAGCCCUGAUCCUAGGCUCUAUUUUUACCCUCCAUACUUUACAUAGGAAAUCAGACUCCCUCACCUCUAUGGGUGUAUGAAGUUAGGGAUAUACCAGACCAUCUAUGGCAUUCAAACUCUUUAGGACUGGGUUUGUUUGCUGUUUUAUUCACAGCAGAGAUUGAUGGGUAUUGGUGAAUGAACUUCUGUGAAAUUUCUCUUCCUUCUAAAAUGCAUUUAUUGAGGUCCAUGAGGCCGUGGUUCAUGGGGGUCACAAAGUCAGGAUUAAUGCAGACCAUUGCUGUUUUUUUCACCAUUUCUUACUGGUGGACUAAGUGCUCCUCAGGCUGUGUCAAUUCCCUCAGGAAGAAUCCUGGCUGUUUUUCAGGUGCAUAUAGGUGUAGAGAUUCUAAUUCCAAGAUAAUGUUUUCCAACAUCACCUCACUCACAAGGUAGUUAUCACAUCCACUAACACUCUCUCCUAUAGAGUCACAAAGUAGCCUGAAUCCAAAAUCUUCCAGACAGAUUUAUUCCCUGAAAACAGGCUCACCACAUCCUGAUGACUUCAGAAUUCAACCCCUGAGGAAUGUCUUGUUUCUUUGCUGCCAAAAUAAUCUAUCUUCUAAGGCCCUUGCCUUUGUCCCUAGAGUGUUUGUGUGAGGGACCCUAGCCCUCAGUGAUGGCCUCUUCCUCUCCUGAGCCAUGUUCCUAGGUAUCAAAAGUCUCAACAGUCCUCCAAUGCUGAUAGCAAAGGCUUGUUUUGUCUAAGGAGGUAGAGGACUUAUGCAACUGCAAUCAUUUUACCUUCCUUAGUCAAGUAAUUCUUAUUUUGCGAAGUACAGUUUUUAUUGAUGAAGACCUUUACUUAAACCACUGAAAACUUGUUAUGCUUGAAGUUUCUGAGGUGGACACAGGGGAUUCAGUAACAAUAUUUUCUUUUAUUACAACCUAAUUUACAGAAACUAGUGACCUAAAGUUAUUUUAUACAGUCAGCAUGAUUCUAAUGGAGUCUUUUUCUGUGUCUGUCUCACUCUGACAAUGCAGGGCAGUGAGGCUCAGGUUAUUCAGUAAGAAAGAAAUAGCCUUAUUUCCUUACUUGUUUGUGAUUUUUCAUGUUGAAUUUUUGUAACUUCUUCUUCUUCUUCUUUUUUUUUUUUUUUUAGAUGGAGUCUCAGUCACCAGGCUGGAGUGCAGUGGCACAAUCUCAGCUCACUGCAACCUUCACCUCCUGGGUUCAAGCAAUUCCCCUGCCUCAGCCUCUCGAGUAGCUGGGACUACAGGUGCUCACCACCAUGCCUGGCUAAUUUUUUUUAUUUUAGUAGAGUCGGGGUUUCACCAUGUUGGCCAGGCUGGUCUCGAUCUCCUGAUCUCAUGAUCCACCUGCCUCGGCCUCCCAAAGUGCUGAGAUUAUAGGUUUGAGCCACCAUGACUGGCCGAAUUUUUGUAACUUCUUUUCACAUAGUGGUUUACUGGGUAAGGUGUAUCUUGCUUCUCCUACAUGAUAUUCUUAUUUAUGAUGAAUUAAAACAAAUAAAGAAAAGUAAAAGAAAGGCAAAGGAACCAUAUUGUUCUUCUCCAUAAUUUUCAAGAUUUCAGAUUUUUUGUCUCUCAUUUCAACUUUCCUAGAAAGCAAACCUCAACAAUUGCUUAUAUAUUAAAAACAAAACAAAUAUAAGCCUGAAUAUCAGGAAGUAAGAGAAGUGACUUUCUGCUGACAAAAUAGCAAAACAUAUGUUAGCAAAAUUCAGUGCAGCAAAAUUAGAGACUAGGGACUCUGUCCCAGGGGAAGGAUGAAUGUCAUUGUUGAGGUACACAAAAGCAAGGGAAACGGCUGCUUCUGCCAGAGCCUCACAGAAGAGCAACUCCUGGGUCAAUGGAUUGUCCUCAGCUUUGCAAGACCAGCCACCUGCUCUUCUUUCAUUGAAUGCAGAUGUUAUCACCUCUGAGGUAAGAAAGGAGGAGUCACACCAACCAACUCACAGUAGACUGGCAACAAGACCCCAGUUGCUAGAACACUAGUCCUCUCUGGCAUGAUAAUGAAUAUUAGCCUUGCCUUAGCACCGUACCUAGUUAAAAAAUCCACCCAGGAAAUGAAAAGAUGGCAUUUAGAAACCUGCAAAGAAACAGAAUUUGAUUUCCCAAAAGAUUCUGCUCCUAGUUGUGUUAUAACAAUGGUGAUUUUUUUAAAAGAUAACACCAAAAUUAUUGCAUUAUAACUAUAGGCCUGUGACUGUUUUAAGAUCAUUAAAA
Homo sapiens (human) is the source of this 3754-nucleotide long non-coding RNA. Ensembl annotates it as MIR31 host gene. Its record names the gene MIR31HG. Lineage: Eukaryota; Metazoa; Chordata; Mammalia; Primates; Hominidae. The record is from Ensembl.